RNAcentral lists this ribosomal RNA (468 nucleotides) under uncultured bacterium. RNAcentral's name for it is "partial 16S ribosomal RNA". It matches the Rfam family "Bacterial small subunit ribosomal RNA", at positions 28 to 507 of the family's 1533-position model. The record is from RNAcentral.
GACGAACGCUGGCGGCGUGCUUAACACAUGCAAGUCGAACGGAAAGGCCCUGCUUUUGUGGGGUGCUCGAGUGGCGAACGGGUGAGUAACACGUCAGUAACCUGCCCUUGACUUUGGGAUAACUUCAGGAAACUGGGGCUAAUACCGGAUAGGAGCUCCUGCUGCAUGGUGGGGGUUGGAAAGUUUCGGCGGUUGGGGAUGGACUCGCGGCUUAUCAGCUUGUUGGUGGGGUAGUGGCCUACCAAGGCUUUGACGGGUAGCCGGCCUGAGAGGGUGACCGGCCACAUUGGGACUGAGAUACGGCCCAGACUCCUACGGGAGGCAGCAGUGGGGAAUAUUGCACAAUGGGCGGAAGCCUGAUGCAGCAACGCCGCGUGCGGGAUGACGGCCUUCGGGUUGUAAACCGCUUUCGCCUGUGACGAAGCGUGAGUGACGGUAAUGGGUAAAGAAGCACCGGCUAACUACGUG